RNAcentral lists this ribosomal RNA (484 nucleotides) under uncultured bacterium. RNAcentral's name for it is "bacterial SSU rRNA". It matches the Rfam family "Bacterial small subunit ribosomal RNA", at positions 39 to 518 of the family's 1533-position model. The record is from RNAcentral.
GCGACAGGCCUAACACAUGCAAGUCGAGGGCGAGCACAAGGAGCAAUCUGAGGUGGCGACCGGCGCACGGUGAGUAACACGUAUGCAACCUGCCUGUAAGCGGGGAAUAACCCGUUGAAAGACGGACUAAUACCGCAUAAUACUAAAUUACUGCAUGGUAAUUUAUUUAAACAUUUAUGGCUUACAGAUGGGCAUGCGCAUGAUUAGCUAGUUGGAGAGGUAACGGCUCCCCAAGGCAACGAUCAUUAGGGGUUCUGAGAGGAAGGUCCCCCCACACUGGUACUGAGACACGGACCAGACUCCUACGGGAGGCAGCAGUGAGGAAUAUUGGUCAAUGGACGAGAGUCUGAACCAGCCAAGUCGCGUGCAGGAAGAAUGUCCUAUGGAUUGUAAACUGCUUUUGCAGGGGAAUAAAGUGCAUCACGUGUGAUGUUUUGUAUGUACUCUGCGAAUAAGGAUCGGCUAACUCCGUGCCAGCAGCCGC